AUGGUAGAUGGGUGGAAUGCCCUAUUUAAUGAUGUCAAAAAUACUGUCCUGAUGGACAAGAGAGACACUGUUCGCUGGGACUUUGACACUAAAGGUGUUUACACUGUCAAGUCCUUCUAUGACAUUAUAAACUUUAGAGGAGUCUCCCCCGGGAACAGUAUAUCUAUCUGGAAUAUCAAAGUCCCGCUUCGCAUUCAUAUUUUCCUUUGGCUUAUGACUAAUAACAAGCUGUUGACUAGAGAUAAUCUGCAGAAAAGACAAACAGUAGAUAAUGCGUCCUGUCUUUUCUGCAAUGAUCCUGAAUCUAUAGAUCAUUUAUUUUUCAACUGUGUGGUCUCGAUGGAGCUCUGGAGAGUGAUUGGGGACUUCUACAAUAAUCAUGCCAGGAUGUCUAUGAAUGACAUGCUUGAAUGGUGGUCCCAUAAUAAAAAUCACCCGGCUGAAUGUUUAUUGCACUUCGCUGUCUUGUGGGCUCUAUGGAAACAAUGUAAUGAUAUGUGCUUCAAUUAUACUCCCUGGUCUGGGAUGCAGGUGUUGUGGAGGAAGAUAGCUGCUACGUUAGAUAGUAGGGCGGUACGUUGCUCAGAUCCUGUCAAAACCAAAGUGCUGAGUAUGGUGCGGAAGCUGGAACAGAUGGCAAGGUCCCCACCCCUCCUACUAUGGCCGGACCCUGGCUAG
Molecule: ribosomal RNA, 678 nt
Filed under: Triticum aestivum (bread wheat)
Lineage: Eukaryota; Viridiplantae; Streptophyta; Magnoliopsida; Poales; Poaceae
Description: partial small subunit ribosomal RNA
Source: RNAcentral